UGCAAUUUGGUGUAAAGGCACGUGAAGUUUUGAUCUUUAAAGAAUUGGUGUAAUUCCAUUAUUUGCAU
RNAcentral lists this transfer RNA (68 nucleotides) under Halocaridinides fowleri. RNAcentral describes it as "tRNA-Gln". The record is from RNAcentral. Lineage: Eukaryota; Metazoa; Arthropoda; Malacostraca; Decapoda; Atyidae.